AUUGAACGCUGGCGGCAUGCCUUACACAUGCAAGUCGAACGGCAGCACGGGAGCAAUCCUGGUGGCGAGUGGCGAACGGGUGAGUAAAGUAUCGGAACGUGCCCAGUCGUGGGGGAUAACGUAGCGAAAGUUACGCUAAUACCGCAUACGAUCUAUGGAUGAAAGCGGGGGAUCGCAAGACCUCGCGCGAUUGGAGCGGCCGAUAUCAGAGUAGGUAGUUGGUGGGGUAAAGGCUCACCAAGCCGACGAUCUGUAGCUGGUCUGAGAGGACGACCAGCCACACUGGGACUUAGACACGGCCCAGACUCCUACGGGAGGCAGCAGUGGGGAAUUUUGGACAAUGGGCGAAAGCCUGAUCCAGCCAUGCCGCGUGCAGGAUGAAGGCCUUCGGGUUGUAGACUGCUUUUGUACGGAACGAAAAGGUUUGGCCUAAUAAGCUGAGCUCAUGACGGUACCGUAAGAAUAAGCACCGGCUAACUACGUGCCAGCCGCCGCCGUAU
This 500-nucleotide ribosomal RNA is filed under the name uncultured bacterium. Its description in RNAcentral is "partial 16S ribosomal RNA". It matches the Rfam family "Bacterial small subunit ribosomal RNA", at positions 30 to 523 of the family's 1533-position model. The record is from RNAcentral.